Molecule: unclassified non-coding RNA, 425 nt
Filed under: soil metagenome
Description: partial contains 5.8S ribosomal RNA, internal transcribed spacer 2, and large subunit ribosomal RNA
Rfam family: 5.8S ribosomal RNA (bases 1-121)
Source: RNAcentral
GAUGAAGAACGUAGCGAAUCGCGAUAAGUAAUGUGAAUUGCAGAUUUUCCGUGAAUCAUCGAAUCUUUGAACGCACCUUGCGCUCCUUGGUAUUCCGAGGAGCAUGCCUGUUUGAGUGUCAUCGAAACCUCGGAUCGACGCUUCGACCCCGUCGAAGCUCGGUUCGGACUGUGGGAGUCUGCCGGGGAAGCGUGACUUCGUCGGCUCUCCUCAAAAGCAUUAGCUGUGGGUGGCGAGCCUGGCAUGGCACGGCCUGUUCGACGUCGUAGUGAUCGUCGGGGGCUGGAAGUGUAUGGCUCGACGUGACCCAUGCUUCUCGAGUCUUGCGAGCCCGUCCCUCUGUGGGACGGCCGCGCCCCAUCGAAGCUUGACCUCAAAUCAGGUAGGACUACCCGCCGAACUUAAGCAUAUCAAUAAGCGGAGGA